Molecule: long non-coding RNA, 26993 nt
Filed under: Hordeum vulgare
Lineage: Eukaryota; Viridiplantae; Streptophyta; Magnoliopsida; Poales; Poaceae
Description: long non-coding RNA (HVUL_LNC007808)
Source: RNAcentral
AUCAAUGUCAUAGCAAAUCCUGCGAGCAUAAUCAGCUACCGUACAACAUAGUCGUUGUAGCCAAGAUUACACUUAACUCAUGGUACAUGCCAAUGUCAUGCUGACUUACUUGCUUCAGAUGAAAGGAAUGUUGCGGGACGACAACUUUUUUCUUUUGUAUGAAAGGGGUUCCCCCCCCCCCAUUUUAUUAAAAUGAAGCAACAUUGUCUUACAAACCCUCAAAAGCCACUAAAGAAUAACUAAACAAACCAUAACCUAGGCAAAAGGCCAGCAGUUAAAAGGUUAUAAACCAACAAACCACAAACUCGGAAGAAACUAUCAGCACCAACACAUAAGGAGCCUUAGAAUGCUUUUAUUAUAGGCCAAAGAAGGAAAAACGAGAGAAGACUACUCGGCUCCUCGAUGGUCUCCCAACGUCAUCUCCACGCGAUCCGAAGCAACUCCCCACGCCUCUUGUUUAGCAACCUGAUAUAGUCCCGCAGAAGAACUACGUGAGCAUCGUUGAAUAGUAUUUUUCAUAAACGUCCAGCUUGGCAAUAAUGCAUUUUACACUUCUCCAAGAUCAACCCUGAAAGCAAAAUUCAUUCCUCGAUUUGCAAAUGCUCCACAAGGAGGCAACAAUCAUCAUGUUUAGUACAACAUUAGUCUUAGGACUACCCCACAACAAAGUAACAUCAUCAAAGCUUGAAAUUUCUGGAUUGUUAAACACCGAAGAGAUAAAUCCCCAAAGUUGUUUAGCAACCACACAAUCAAAGAACAGGUGUUGCACUGAUUACUUACACCUACAAAAGAGACAAGUAGGAUCUUCCACCGGUCUACAUUUUUCAAGGUUAUCUCUAGUUAAAACUUUAUUAUAGACACAUAACCAUAAAAAACAUGUAUUUUUUGUGGACAUACCACCUUCCAAAGACUAUCACCAAUGGUAGAUACCGCACCCCAAAAUUAAUUUGCUCAUAGAAAGACUUAACUGACUAAAUGCCAUUUGACUCCAGUUUCCACACAUGAGAAUCAGGUUCUCUUGAGAGAGGGGUUUGUUUCACCACCUCAACAACCGAUCCCAAAGUGUUAACCCUACCUGAUCCACACAUCUCCGGAAUGUCAGUCUUAGGACCGUCACGUCCCAAACUUGAGCCACUAUACAAUCUGUCCGAUUACAAAUUUCAAAUAAUUUCUAGAAUUGCACCUUAAGGGAACAGUCCCCAGCCCACACAUCAUGCUAUAAGUUAAUUGAUUCCCCAUUCCCCAACUUCUACUUAUAAAAUAAUUUUGCUCCAGAUAGAGCCCAGGUGACGCUCUUCCAAAAGGUUGAACCAUUCCCACCACCACUCCAAAGAAAAUUUAAAGAAUUAACAUUAUAUUUAUGAGUGAUAAUUUUUUCCAAUCUCUAGCCAACUCGUCCAUGAAUCGCUUCCCUCAUGAGGCCAACAAAGCCAUGUUAAACUCCUUGAUGUUAGGAAUCCAUACCCUCCAAAUUCUUUCGUCAUAGAGAUUUGCCCCCACCUGGCCCAGUGGUAUUUGUGUUUGUCAUCCAAAUCCCCCCAAAUAAAUGAGCCAUUUGGGAAUUGAUAGCAUUAAUAGCCCACUUAGGAAACCUAAUCAUAGACUGGAGGUAAGUGGGAAUGCUAACAAUGCAGGCACAAAGCAGAACAACUUUACCUUUAAAGGUUAAGAACCUCCCCAUCCAGCCAGAAAGAUUCUUAAUGAUUCUAUCUAUAAUUGGCUGAAUAUCUUCACGUCUAAGGUUAUCAUAAUGAAGAGGUACACCUAGAUAUUUAAUAGGGAAAGCUGUUGGAAAUAUGCCCUAGAGGCAAUAAUAAAUUAGUUAUUAUUAUAUUUCCUUGUUCAUGAUAAUCAUUUAUUAUCCAUGCUAUAAUUGUAUUGAUUGGAAACUCAAAUACAUGUGUGGGUAUAUAGACAACACACUGUCCCUAGUGAGCCUCUAAGGACUAGCUCGUUGAUUAAAGAUGGUCAAGGUUUCCUGACCAUAGACAUGAGUUGUCAUUUGAUAAUGGGAUCACAUCAUUAGGAGAAUGAUGUGAUGGACAAGACCCAAACUAUGAAUGUAGCAUGUGAUCGUGUGAGUUUAUUGUUACUGUUUUCUGCAUGUCAAGUAUUUGUUUCUAUGACCAUGAGAUCAUGCAACUCCGGGGCACCGGAGGAAUGCCUUGUGUGUAUCAAACGACACAACGUAACUGGGUGACUAUAAAGAUGCUCUAGAGGUAUCUCUGAAGGUGUCUGUUGGGUUGGCGUGAAUUGAGAAUGGGAUUUGUUACUCCGUACGACGGAGAGGUAUCUCUAGGUCCCACUCGGUAAUACAACAUCACAAUGAGCUUGCAAGCAAUGUGACUAAAGAGUUGGUCACGUGAUCUUUUAUUACGGAACGAGUAAAGAGACUUGCCGGUAACGAGAUUGAACUAGGUAUGGAGAUACCGACGAUCGAAUCUUUGGCAAGUAACGUCCGGAUAGACAAGGGGCAUACGGGAUUAACUGAGUCCUUGACAUAGAGGUUCAACCGAUAAAGAUCUUCGUAGAAUAUGUAGGAGCCAAUAUGGGCAUCCAUGUACCGCUAUUGGUUAUUGACCGGAGAGUGUCUCAGGCCAUCUCUACAUAGUUCUCGAACCCGCACGGUCUGCACACUUAAGGUUUGGUGAUGUUUCGGUAUAAUUGAGUUAUGUAUGUUAGUGACUGAAGGUUGUUCGGAUUCCCGACCCCAAUUUGGUCAUGGCGCGCAGCCCGACCUCAAUUUGGUCAUGGUCGUGGCCCUACCCCAAUUAGGUCAUGGCGCCACUCCUUCCCCUCCCUCCUGUAUAUAGUGGAGAGGAGAGAGGCAGCGAGACCUGAGAAGGUUAUGGCGCGCAGCCGCUCCAAUUAGGUCAUGGUGCAGCUUUCUCUCCCUCCUUUAGUUCGUUUCACCUCUAGAUCGGUUCGGCAGUACACGGUGAAGCCCUGCCGGAUCAGCUUCACCACCAUCGUCGCCAUGCCGUCGUGCUGGCGGAGAACUCCUCUACCUCUCCACCCUUGCUUGCUGGAUCAAGGAGGUGGAGAUCAUCAUCGAGCUGUACGUGUGUUGAACGCGGAGGUGUCGUUUGUUCGGUACUAGAUCGGGAUGGAUCAAAAUGGGAUCAUGGGACGAAUCGUGAUGAGAUCGCGAGACGUACUGCGAUUUGGAUCGCGAAGAUGUUCGACUACAAAAACCGCGUUAUAUACGCUUCCGCUUAGCGAUCUACAAGUGUAUGUGGAUUCAAUCUCUCCUCUCGUAGAUGGUCAUCACCAUGGAUAGAUCUUAUGUGUGCGUAGGAAUUUUUUUGUUUCCCAUGCAACAUUGUCCAACAAUGGUAUUAGAGCUAGGUCUAUCCGUAGAUGACAUCUCGAGUAGAACACAAAGGAGUUUGUGGGCGUUGAUAUUCAGAUUGCUUCCCUCCUUAGUCUUUUCUUGAUUCGGCGAUAUUGUUGGAUGAAGCGUCCCGGGCCAACCAUACUCGUACGGUUACGAGAGACUAGUUCCAUCAACUAACAUGCAACUUGUUGCAUAAAGAUGGUUGGUGGGUGUAUGUUUCUCCUACUUUAGUUGAAUCGGAUUUGACAAAGGCAGUCCUUGGAGAAGGUUAAAUAGCAACUUGUGUAUCACCGUUGUGGUUUUGCGUAGGUAGAAUCGUUCUUGCUAGACACCCAUAGCAGCCACGUAAAACAUGCAACAACAAAUUAGAGGACGUCUAACUUGUUUUUGCAGGGUAUGCAUGUGAUGUGAUAUGGCCAACGACAUGAUGUGAUAUAUUUGAUGUAUGAGAUGAUCAUGUUGUAAUAGUUAAAUAUCGACUUGCAAGUCUAUGCUACGGCAACCGGCAGGAGCCAUAGGGUUGUCUUUAAUUAUUUUACGCUUGGUGAUGCUUUGCUUUAUCGAUAGUUCAGUAGCUUUAGUAGCAACAUCAUAGUUAGUGCAACAACCGCGAUGACAGCACAAUGAUGGAGAUCAUGGUGUGGCGCCGGUGACGAUGGAGAUCAUGCGGGUGCUUUGAAGAUGGAGAUCAAAAGCAGAAGUUCAUGGCCAUAUCAUGUCACUUAUGAUUUGCAUGUGAUAUUAAUCCUUUUAUGCACCUUAUUUUUUAUUAGAACGACGGUAGCAUUAUAAGGUUAUCCCUCACUAAAAUUUCAAGAUAAAAUUGUGUUCUCCCCGAGUGUGCACCGUUGCGAAAGUUCGUCGUUUCGAGACACCACGUGAUAAUCGGGUGUGAUAGACUCCACGUUCACAUACAACGGGUGCAAGACAGUUGCACACGCGGAACACUCGGGUUAAACUUGAUGAGCCUAGCAUGUACAGACAUGGCCUCGGAACACAAGAGAUCGAAAGGUCGAACAUGAGUCAUAUAGUAGAUAUGCUCAACAUAGAUAUGUUCACCAUUGAAGCCAACUUAACCCACGUGAUGAUCAAACUUGAGUUUGUGGAUUUGGGUCAUGUACCACUCGAAUGACCAAAGGGAUGUCAAUUUGAGUGGGAGUUCUUAAGUAAUAUGAUUAAUUAAACUCAUUAUCAUGAACAUAGUCAAAAUUUCUUUGCAGAUUAUGGUGUAGAUGAUUAGCUUGCGUUGUAGCUCCCCUGUUUGUUUUGAUGUGUUCUAGAGAAAAUUAAGUUGAAAGAUGAUAGUAGCAAGUAUGCGGACUAGUUCCGGAAACUGAGGAUUGUCCUCAUUGCUGCAUAGAAGACUUAUGUCCUUAAUGCACCGCUUGGUGAACUGCCCCAAGUGUCGUGUGUAGAUGUUACGAACAUCUGACAUACAUGUUUUGAUGACUACAUGAUAGUUCAGUGCGUCUUGCUUUACGGCUUGGAAUUGAGGCGCCCAAGACGUUUUGAAUGUCACGGAACAUAUAAGAUGUUCCAAGAGCUGAAAUUAGGAUUUCAGGCUUGUGUCCAUGUUGAGAGGUACGAGACCUCCGACAAGAUUCUUUGCCUGCAAAGUAAGGGAGAAAAGUUCAAUCGUUGAGCAUGUGCUCAGAUUCUAUGGGUGUUACAAUCGCUUGAAUCGAGUGGGUGUUGAUCUUCUAGAUAAGAUAGUGAUUGGCUUAGUUCUCCAAAGUCACUGCCACCAAGCUACUGAGCUUCGUGAUGAACUAUAACAUAUGAGGUAUAGAGAUGAUGAUCCCUCGGCUAUUCGCGAUGUUUGACACCGCGAAGGUAGAAAUCAAGUAGGAGCAUCAAGUGUUGAUGGUUUGUAAAACCACUAGUUUCAAGAAGGGCAAAGGGAAUGAAGGGAAACUUGGAUAAUGACACGUCAGUUGUCACUGAAUGAAGAAACCCAAGGUUGAACCCAAACCCGAGAGUAAGUGCUUCUAUGAUGAGGGGAAUAAUCACUAAGGCAGAGCUGUUCUAGACACCCAGCCUGGCAACGUCAACAAAAGUAUAUUGGAUAUUGUGUUAUUGAUGUGUAAUUUACUAGUACUCCUAGUAGCACAUGGGUACAAGAUACCGGUUCAGUUGCUAAAUGUUAGUAACUCAAAAUAAAAGUUACAGAAUAGACGGAGACUAGCUAAAGGCGAGGUGACGAUGUGUGUUGGAAGUGUUUCCAAGGUUAAUGUGAUCACCAUCGCACGCUCCCUCUACCUUCGGGAUUAGUGUUACACCUAAAUAUUGAUUGGUGUUUGCGUUGAGCAUGAACAUGAUUGGAUCGUGUUUAUUGCAAUACGGUUAGUAAUUUAAAGAGAAUAAUGGAUACUCUGUUUACUUGAAUAAAUCCUUCAAUGGUCAUGCACCUAAUAUGAAUGGUUUAUUGAAUCUUGAUCGUACUGGUACACAUGUUCGUAAUAUUGAUACGAAAAGAUACGAAGUAGUAAUUAUAGUACCACUUACUUGUUGCAGUGACGCUUGAGUCAUAUUGGUAUAAAAUGCAUGAAGAAGCUCCAUGAUGAUGGACCUUUGGUCUCACUCGUUUUUGAAUCGUUUGAGACAUGCGAACCAUGCCUAUUGGUGUAAACGCAUGAAGAAACUCCAUGCAGAUGGAUCUUUUGGACUCACUUGAUUUUGAAUCACUUGAGACAUGCAAAUCAUGCCGCAUGGGAAAGAUGACUGAAGGCCUCGUUUUCCAGUGAUAUGGAACGAGAAAGUGACUUAUUGGAAAUAAUACAUUUUGAUGUAUACAGUCCAAUGAGUGCUGAGGCACGCAGUGGAUAUUGUUACGAUCUUACUUCACAGAUAAUUUGAGUAGAUACAUGUGUAUUUACUUGAUGAAUCACGAGUAUGAAUUAUUGAAAAAGUUCAAGUAAUUUCAGAGUGAAGUUGAAGAUCGUCGUGACAGGAUGAUGAAAUAUCUAUGAUGUGAUCGUAGAGAUGAAUAUCUGAAUUGCAAGUUUGGUAUACAUUUAAGAUAAUGUGGAAAUUGUUUCGCAACUCAUGCCACCUGGAACACCAGAGUGUGAUGAUGUGUUCGGACGUCAUAGGCGCGCCCUAUUGGAUAUGGUGCAUAUUAUGAUGUCUCUUAUCGAAUUACCACUAUUGUUUUGGAGUUACUCACUUUAAAUAUGGCACCAUUUAAUUUAGUUGAGAUGGCACCGUAUGAAUUAUGGUUUGGAGAAACCCAAGCCGUCGUUUCUUAAAAAGUUUGGAGCUACAAUGCUUAUGUCAAAGAGCUUCAGCCUGAUAAGCUCGAACCCAAAGCGGAUAAAUGCAUCUUCAUAGGAUACUCAAAAUAGUUGGGUAUACCUCCUAUCUCAGAUCCAAAAGCAAAGUGUUUGUUUCUGAAAAUGGGUCCUUUCUCGAGAAAGAGUUUCUCUCGAAAGAAUUGAAUGGGAGGAUGGUGGAACUUGAUGAGGUUUUUACACCAUCACUUUAACCACAGAGUAGAAGGGUGCGCGAAGUUGUUCCUGUGGAGCCUACACUAGUUGAAGUGGAAGCUGAUGAUAGUGAUCAUGUAGCUUCAGAUCAAGUUACUACCAAACCUCGUAGGCCGACAAGGACACGCACUACUCCAGAGUGGUGCGGUAAUCCUGUCUUGGAGGUCAUGUUGUUGGACAACAAUGAACCUACAAGCUAUGAAGAAGCGAUGGUGGGCCUGGAUUUUGACGAAUAGUUGGACGCCAUGAAAUCUGAGAUAGGAUCCAUGUAUGAAAACAAAGUGUAGAGUUUGGAACCACUACUUGAUGGUCUGAUACGUCUCCAACGUAUCUAUCAUUUUUUAUGAUUCCAUGCUAUUAUCUUGUCAACUUUGGAUGUUUUAUAUGCAUGAAUAUGCUAUUUUAUAUCUUUUUUGGGACUAACCUAUUAACUCAGUGCCAAGUGCGAGUUUCUGUUUUUUCCGUGUUUUUGACAUUUUUCAGAGAAGAAUAUUAAAUGGAGUCCAAACGGAAUAAAACCUGUCGGGUGAUUUUUUCCAUAACAGAAGAUACGCAGGGGACUUGAGAACCAAGGAGGAGACCUCGUGGGAGAUCACAAGCCCCCUAGCCGCGACCUAGGGGGUGGCUGCGCCUGGCAGGCUUGUGGGCUCCAUGUGGCUCCUUUGCCCUACCUCUUUCGCCUAUAAAUUCUCUAAAAUCCUGAAACCAAAAAAGAGAGCCACGAAAAUACUUUUUCGCCGCCGCAAGCUUCUGUCUCCACAAGAUUUCAUCUAGGGACCAUUCUGGAGCCCUGUCGGAGGGGGAUUCGGACACGGAGGGCUUCUUCAUCAACACCAUUGCCUCUCCGAUGAUGCGUGAGUAGUUCACCACACACCUUCGGGUCCAUAGCUAGUAGCUAGAUGGCUUCUUCUCUCUCUUGGAUCUUCAAUACAAAGUUCUCCAUGAUCUUCAUGGAGAUCUAUCUCAUGUAACUUUCUUUUGCGGUGUGUUUGUCGAGAUCCGAUGAAUUGUGGAUUUAUGAUCAGAUUAUCUAUGAAUAUUAUUUGAGUCUCCUCUGAUCUCUUAUAUGCAUAAUUUCGUAUCCUUGUAAUUCUCUUCGAGUUAUGGGUUUCGUUUGGCCAACUUGAUCUACAUUUCUUGAAAUGGGAGAAGUGCUUGGUUUUGGGUUCAUACCGUGCAGUGUCCUCGCCCAGUGAUAGAAAGCGUAGCGAGGCACGCAUCAUGUUGUUGCCAUCAAGGGUAAAAAGAUGGGGUUUAUAUGAUAUUGCAUGAAUCUAUCCCUCUACAUCAUGUCAUCUUGCUUAAGGCGUUACUCUGUUUGUUAUGAACUCAAUACACUAGAUGCAUGCUGGAUAGCGGUCGAUGUGUGGAGUAAUAGUAGUAGAUGCAGAAAGUAUCGGUCUACUUGUCUCGGACGUGAUGCCUAUAUGUAUGAUCAUUGUCUUAGAUAUCAUCAUGACUUUGCGCGAUUCUAUCAAUUGCUCGAGAGUAAUUCGUUCGCCCACCGUAAUACUUGCUAUCAUGAGAGAAGCCUCUAGUGAACACUAUGGCCCCCGGGUCUACUUCACAUCCUAUAUCCAGAUCUACAAAAUUACUUUGUUGCACUUUUCACCUUCAGAUCUCACCUUGCAAAUAAUCAUGAAGGGAUUGACAACCCCUUUUUCGCGUUGGGUGCAAGUUUGUUUGUUUUUGCGCAGGUACAUUGCUGCCUCAUCUUGAUACUCCUAUUGGAUUGAUACAUUGGUUCUCAAACUGAGGGAAAUACUUAUCGCUACUUUGUUGCAUCACCCUUUCCUCUUCAAGGGAAAAACCAACGCAAGCUCAAGAGGUAGCAGGAAGGAUUUCUGGCGCCGUUGCCGGGAAGUAUUCAAAUGAAGCAUAUAUACCAAGUACCUAUCGCAAACUCAUCUCUUGCAUUUAUAUUAUUUGCCAUUUGCCUCUUGUGUUCCUCUUCCCCACUUCUAAAAUGAUUUUCCGAAAAUACCAAAAAGAUUUUUCUUUUUAUUCGCUCUUCUUCCGUUCGCCUUUUUGUUGCUAUGUUUGCUUGUGUUGCCAUGUGCCUUCUAUUUGCUUGCAUCUUCGCUUGCUAAAAAUCUAUUGAUAUGGAUUCUCACCCACUUGCUAAUCUCUUUAAGAGAUCCAAUUAUGUUGAACCAAUUGCUAGUGAUUUUUUUGCACUAGAUUAUCUUUAUGAAGUUUUGCUUGAGAUGCGUGAAUCUAAAAAUUGUGAUGAAGAAAUUUAUGAAGUGAUUCACGAGGGCUCCUUGAAUGAAAAUCAUGAUUGCAAUGGUUUCACUAUAAAUUCUAUUAAUGACAAUCAUGCUAAAAAUAUGCAAAACCCUAAGCUUGGGGAUGAUAGUUUUGUUAUGUCCACUACUUGUUGCAAUGAUCAUGAUUGGGGUGAUGAUUUUUCUUACGAUCUUGAAAAUUUGCUUAAGCCUCAUGAUGAAUAUGAUAUUGAUAAUAAUGUUUGCAAUAAUAUUGAAAGUGGGUUUGGACAAGUCAUGACUUUAGUUGAUGAUAAUCCCACUAUUUUUGAAGAGCGUCAACUUUGCAUGCAUGUGGAUCAUGAAAAGAAUAUCAUAUGUGAUAGUUAUAUUGUUGAAUUUAAAUAUGAUCCCACAUGUAAUUAUUAUGAGAGAGGAAAAUAUGGUUGUAGAAAUUUUCAUAUCACUAAAUCACCUCUCGUUAUGUUGAGAUUGCUAUUGUCUCUUUCUUCUUCCUUGCAUAUGGUAACUAUUGGUUGUCUUGACAAUUUGUUUUUCUACAAAAUGCCUAUAAAUAGGAAGUAUGUUAGACUUAGAUAUGUUUUUUCACAUGUUUCAUGAUGCUCUCUUCGUGUCCGAUUGCUAUCUUUUAUGUGGGCAUCAUUGAAUUAUCAAUGCCUAGCUAAAGGGCGUUAAACGAUAGCGCUUGUUGGGAGGCAACCCAAUGGAUUUAUUUUUGCUUUUUACUUUCUGUUUUGUUGUGUCCACACCAUAAUAAUUCUGUUAUUAUUGUGUUUUUUAUGUUUUAAAUUAGUGUUUCUCCCAAGUAGAACCUUUAUGAUUAGUUUUGGUGAUAGUUGUUUAAUCAUGCUGAAAAAGACAGAAACUUUGUGCUCACGAAAUUAUUUUUAAUUCCUAUCGAGAAAGAGAUUUUGAGUUGAUUCUUUUUGGUUAUGAUUGAUAUGAGAAUUUCCCUAAUUUUCAUAAUUUUAAAGAAUUUUUGCGAUACCAGAGGUAUACUAAGUAUACAGAUUGCUACAGAGUGGUCUGUUUUUGACAUAUUCUAUUUUUGUUGUGUUGAUUGCUUAUUUUGAUGAAACUAUGGUUAGUAUCGGGGGGGUACUAGCCAUGGGAAAGUUAGAAUACAGUAAUAUAACAUAAAUCUAAAUGGAAAUCAAGUUUACUACAGUACCUAAAGAGUUUUUGUUUAAGUUUUCUGUUGUGAAGUUUUUAAGUUUUGGGUGAUGUUCUCAUGGACAAUGGAAUAAAGAGUGGAAAGAGCUUAAGCUUGGGGAUUCCCAAGACAUCCCAAGCCAAAUUCAAGGACACCAAAAAUCCUAAGCUUGGGGAUGCCCCGGGAAGGCAUCCCCUCUUUCGUCUUCAAUCCAUCGGUAACGUUACUUGGAGCUAUAUUUUUAUUCACCACAUGAUAUGUGUUUUGCUUGGAGCAUCGUGUAUUAUAGGAGUCUUUACUUUUUGUUUUGUCACAAUCAUCCUUGCUGCACACCUUUUUUAGAAGGACAUGCACUCAUGGUGAACUUGUUAGAAUACUCAAUGAGCUUCACUUAUAUCUUUUGAGUUAGGCAAUUUAGCUCGCAUGUGCUUCACUUAUAUCUUUUGAGCUAGGAAACCAAUCUUCAUGGAGAUCUAUCCGAUGUAACUUUCUUUAGCGGUGUCUUUGUCAAGAUCCGAUGAAUUGUGGAUUUAUGAUCAGAUUAUCUAUGAAUAUUAUUUGAAUCUCCUUUGAUCUCUUAUAUGCAUGAUUUCGUAUCCUUGUAAUUCUCUUCGAGUUAUGGGUUUCAUUUGGCCAACUUGAUCUAUAAUUCUUGUAAUGGGAGAAGUGCUUGGUUUUGGGUUCAUACCGUGCGGUGUUCUCACCCAGUGACAGAAAGGGUAGCGAGGCACACAUCGUGUUGUUGCCAUCAAGGGUAAAAAGAUGGGGUUUAUAUCAUAUUCCAUGAAUCUAUCCGUCUACAUCAUGUCAUCUUGCUUAAGGCGUUACUCUCUUUGUUAUGAACUCAAUACACUAGAUGCAUGAUGGAUAGCGGUUGAUGUGUGGAGUAAUAGUAGUAGAUGCAGAAAGUAUCGGUCUACUUGUCUCGGACGUGAUGCCUAUAUGUAUGAUCACUGUCUUAGAUAUCGUCAUGAAUUUGCGCGAUUCUGUCAAUUGCUCGACAGUAAUUCGUUCACCCACUGUAAUACUUGCUAUCAUGAGAGAAGCCUCUAGUGAACACUAUGGCCCCCGGGUCUACUGCACCUCCUAUAUUCAGAUCUACAAAAUUACUUUGUUGCACUUUUCACCUUCAGAUUUCACCUUGCAAAUAAUCGUGAAGGGAUUGACAACCCCUUUUUCGCAUUGGGUGCAAGUUUGUUUGUUUUUGUGCGGGUACAUUGGUUCCUCAUCUUGAUACUCCUACUCGAUUGAUACCUUGGUUCUCAAACUGAGGGAAAUACUUAUCGCUACUUUGUUGCAUCACCCUUUCCUCUUCAAGGGAAAAACCAACGCAAGCUCAAGAGGUAGCAUGGUCGUAAGGCUAUUAAGUACAAGUGGAUCUUUAAAAGGAAUACAGACGAUGAUGGUGAAUGUCACCAUUUACAAACCUCGACUUGUCGCAAAGAGGUUUCCGACAAGUUCAAGGAGUUGACUACGAUUAGAUUUUCUCACCCGUAGCGAUGGUAAAAUCUGUUGGAAUUAUGUUAGCAGUUGCUGCAUUUUUCAAUUAUGAAAUCUGACACAUGGAUGUCAAAACAUGGUUUCCUCGACGGUUUUCUCGAGGAAAUGUUGUAUGUGAUACAACCAAAAGGUUUUGUCGAUCGUAAGGAUGCUGACAAGUAUGCAAACUCCAGCGAUCCGUCUAUGGACUUGAGCAAGCAUCUUGGAGUUGUAAUAUGCGCUUUGAUGAGAUUCUCAAAGCUUUUAGGUUUAUACAAAGUUUAUGAGAAACUUGUAUUUACAAGAAAGUGAGUGGGAGCACUAUAGAAUUUCUGAUAAGUAUAUGUGGUUUACAUAUUGUUGAUCGAAAAUGAUGUAGUAUUUAUGUAAAGCAUGUAGAGUUGUUUGAAAGGUGUUUUUCAAAGAAAAAACUAGAUUAAGCUACUUGAACACGAAGCAUCAAUAUCUAUAGAAAUAGAUCAAAUUACUUGAUAAAACUUUCAAUGAAUACAUACCGCGACAAGAUUUUGAAGAAGUUCAAAANGCAGAAGAAAGAGAAGGGACGAAGGUCGUCCCCUAUGCCUUAGCCAUAGGCUCUAUAGUAUGCCAUGUUGUGUACCGCACCUGAUGUGUGCCUUGCCAUGAGUUUGUCAAGGGGUACAAAGAGUGAUCCAUGAAUGAAUCGCUGAACAUCGGUCAAAUUUAUCCUUAGUAACUAGCGGACUAAGAAAUUUUUCUUGAUUAUGGAGGUGAUAAAAGAGUUCGUCGUAAAGGGUUACGUCGAUGCAAACUUUGACACCAAUUUGGAUGACUCUGAGCAGCAAACCGGAUUCGUAUAGUGGAGUAAUCAUUUGAAAUAGUUCCAAGUGGCACGUGGUAGCAGCAUCUACACGAUGACAUAGAUAUUUGUAAAGCACACAUGGAUCUGAAAGGUUCAGACCCGUUGACUAAAACCUCUCUCACAAGCAAAACAUGAUAAACCCUAGAAAUUAUUAUGUGUGAAUCACAUAGUGAUGUGAACUAGGUUAUUGACUCUAGUGCAAGUGGGAGACUUUUGGAAAUAUGCCCUAGAGGCAAUAAUAAAUUAGUUAUUAUUAUAUUUCCUUGUUCAUGAUAAUCAUUUAUUAUCCAUGUUAUAAUUGUAUUGAUUGGAAACUCAAAUACAUGUGUGGGUAUAUAGACAACACACUGUCCCUAGUGAGCCUCUAAAGACUAGCUCGUUGAUCAAAGAUGGUCAAGGUUUCCUGACCAUAGACAUGAGUUGACAUUUGAUAAUGGGAUCACAUCAUUAGAAGAAUGAUGUGAUGGAAAAGACCCAAACUAUGAACGUAGCAUGUGAUCGUGUCAGUUUAUUACUACUGUUUUCUGCAUGUCAAUUAUCUAUUUCUAUAACCAUGAGACCAUGCAACUCCCGGGCACCGAAGGAAUGCCUUGUGUGUAUCAAACGUCACAACGUAAUUGGGUGACUAUAACGGUGCUCUACAGGUAUCUCCCAAGGUGUCUGUUGGGUUGGUGUGAAUCGAGAAUGGAAUUUGUCACUCCAUACGACGGAGAGGUACCUCUAGGGCCCACUCGGUACUACAACAUCACAAUGAGCUUGCAAGCAAUGUGACUAAAUAGUUGGUCACGGGAUCUUGUAUUAUCGAACAAGUAAAGAGACUUGCCGGUAACGACAUUGAAUUAGGUAUGGAGAUACCACGAUUAAAUCUUGGGCAAGUAACAUACCAAUAGACAAAGGGAACAACAUACGAAAUUAACUGAAUCCUUAACAUAGAGGUUCGUAGAAUAUGUAGGAGCCAAUAUGGGCAUCCAGGUCCCACUAUUGGUUAUUGACAGGAGAGUGUCUCAAGCCAUGUCUACAUAGUUCUCGAACCCGUAGGGUCUGCACACUUAAGGUUCGGUGACAUUUCGGUAUAGUUGAGUUAUGUAUGUUGGUGACCGAAGGUUGUUAGGAGACCCGGAUGAGAUCCCGGAUGUCAUGAGGAGUUCCGGAAUGCUCCGGAGACGAAGAUUGAUAUAAAGGAAAGAGGUAUAUUGGUUCCGGAAAGGUUUCAGGCACUAUCGGUAAAGUACCGGGAGUGACGAACGGGUUCGGUGGGUUCACUAUCGGUAAAGUACGUGGUGGGCUGGGCGGCCAGCCCCUAUGGGCAUUGCUACUGCAACAAAAGACCUUCCAACGGCGCCAGAAAUGGGAGUGUUGCUUGAUACUCCUCAGCAACGGCACCAGGAAUCCUUCAGCCGCGGCUACGCCUUAAGGGACUUCCUAGGCAAGUACGCAAAGGAUUUCCCCCGUGGCCUUGGAGCCUUGCGUUGGUGUUCCCUCGAAGCGGAAAGGGUGAUGUAGCGUAGCGGUGGUAAGUACUUCCCUCAGUUUGAGAACCAAGGUAUCAAUCCAGUGGAGGAGUAUCUCAAGAUCCUGCACAAACACAAAAACUUUCUCCCAACGCUAUGAAGGGGUUGUCAAUCCCUUAUAGAUUGUUUGCCAAGUGAGAACUGAAAGCAACAAAGUAACAAAGCAAAGUAAAAGCAGAGGUGUAAACGAUGGAUGUGAAUAGACCCGGGGGCCGUAGUGUUUACUAGUGGCUUCUCUCAUGAAAGCAAGUAGACGGUGGGUGAACAAAUUACUGUCGAGCAAUUGAUAGAACCGCGCAAAGUCGUGACGAUAUCUAUGCCAUGAUUGUUUUAUAGGCAUCACGUCUGAAACAAGUAGACCGAUACUUUCCGCAUCUACUACUAUUACUCCACGCGUCGACCGCUAUCCAGCAUGCAUCUAGUGUAUUAAGUCCAUCAGAACAGAGUAACGCCUUAAGCAAGAUGACAUGAUGUAGAGGGAUAAUCUCAAACCAAUGACAAAAACCCCAUCUUUUUACCCUUGAUGGCACACCUUAGACCCUGUGUGCCUUGCUGCCCCUACUGUCACUGGGAAAGGUCACCACAUGGUAGAACCCAAAACCAAGCACUUCUCCCAUUGCAAGAAUCAUAGAUCUAGUUGGCCAAACAAAACCCAAGACUCGGAGAGACUUACAAGGAUAUCAAAUCAUGCAUAUAAGAAAUCAGCAAAGACUCAAAUAUAUAUCAUAGAUAAUCUGAUCACAAAUCCACAAUUCAUCGAAUCUCGACAAACACAUCGCCAAAGAAGAUUACAUCGGAUAGAUCUCCAUGAAGAUCAUGGAGAACUUUGUAUUGAAGAUCCAAGAGAGAGAAGAAGCCAUCUGGCUACUAACUACGGACCCGUAGGUCUGAAGUGAACUACUCACGAGUCAUUGGAGGGGCGAUGAUGAUGAUGAAGAAGCCCUCCAAUUCUAAAGUCCCCUCCGGCAGGGUGCCAUGAAGGGUCUCCAGAUGAGAUCUCUCGGAAACGGAAGCUUGCGGCGGCGGAAAAGUAUUUUCGAGGCUCCCCGGAUUUUUUGCGGAAUAUUUGGGAAUUUAUAGGCCAAAGACCUAGGUCAGGGGGCGGCCAGGGAGGCCACAAGCCUGCCCACCGCUGCCUCCCCCUAGUGGGGACUUGUGGGCUCCCUGGAGCCCACCUGGCUUGGCCCAAAAGCCCCCUGGUCUUCUUCCGUUCGGGAAAAAAUCGUUUCGGGGUUUUUCUUCCGUUUGGACUCCGUUCCAAAAUCAGAUCUGAAAAGAGUCAAAACACGGAAAAAAACACGAACUGGCACUUGGCACUAAAUUAUUAAGUUAGUCCCAAAAAAGAUAUAAAAGGUACAUAAAACAACCAAAGAAGACAAGAUAACAGCAUGAAACCAUAAAAAAUUAUAGAUAUGUUUGAGACGUAUCAGGCAUAUGCGCCCAAAGUGAGGAGGUGGAGAGGAGUCUGAAUAGGAGAUGGACUCCUCCUAGCGUCGCCGACCCCAAUUUGGUGGCACUCGUCACGGCCCCAAUGUGGUCAUGGUGCGCGACCCGGCCCCAAUUAGGUCAUGGCGCCACCCCUUCCCCUCCCUCCUAUAAAUAGGGGAGAGGAGAGAGGCGGCCAGACCUGAAAAGGUUACGGCGCGCAGACGCCCCAAUUAGGUCAUCGCACAGCUUUCUCUCCCUCCUCUAGUUCGUUCCACCUCUAGAUUGGUUCAGCAGUACACGACGAAGCCCUGCCGGAUCAGCUCCACCACCAUCUCCACCACACCGUUGUGGUGGCGGAGAACUCGUUUACCUCUCCACCCUUUCUUGCUGGAUCAAGGAGGUGGAGAUCGUCAUCGAGCUGUACGUGUGCUAAAAGCGAAGAUGUUGUCCGUUCGGCACUAGAUCGGGAUGGAUCAUGAUGGCAUCACGGGAUGGAUCGUGAUGGCAUCGCGGGACGGAUCGUGAUGAGAUCGCGGGACGGACUACGAUUUGGAUCGCGAAGAUGUUCGACUACAUAAACAAUGUUAUAUACGCUUCGGCUUAGCGAUCUCCAAGGGUAUGUGGAUCCGAACUCUUCUCUCGUAGAUGGUCAUCACCAUGGAUAGAUAUUAUGUGUGCGUAGUAAAAAAAAUUGUUUCCCACACAACGUUCUCCAAAAAAAGCACCUAGUUUACAACAGAAAAUCUAUGCAAACUCCAUAGCCUGAUCCUCUUCCACAUUAAUGUUCAUAAGGUCACUCUUGUGGAAGGUUAUUUUCACGCCGGAUAGGUUUUAAAAACAGGCCAACAACCAUUUGAAGUGCCUAGCUUUAUGUACAAAAUUCUCCAGAAAGAGAAUAGUAUCAUCUGCAUAUUGCAAACUCACCACCCCUCCUAGAAUGAUACGAGGCAAAAGCCCCGCAAUCAAACCCUGAUUAGCAGCUUUUUGAAGCAUUUUGUAAAAGACAUCAGCAACCAAGUUAAAGAGCAUAGGCGAGGAUGGGUCCCCGUGUUUAAGCCCUUUACCCCAACAAAAUGAGGACCAAUCGAAUCGUUAAUUUUCACACUAAAAGUGAUAUUCAUCAAAAUACUUUUCAUCCAAGAAAUCCAUCUAGCCCCAAAACCUCUCGAAUGAAGCAUUUCAAACAGAAAUUCCCAGCUCACCCUAUCAUACGCUUUCUCAUAAUCAACUUUUAGAACUAAGCCCUGUGAUCGAGAUUUCUUAACCUCAUGGAUGACCUCAUGAGCCAUAACCACUCUCUCUAAAAUAUAUCUCCCCUUAAUAGACGUUGUUUGGUUAGAGGAGAUAAGCCUAUGGCCAACAGGGGCAACUCUGGUAGUCAUAGCCUUAGACAAAAUUUUAAUCACACAAUUACUCAGACUAAUAGGCCUGAAUUUUUUCUUUUCCUUGGCAUUGGGUUCUUUCGGGAUAAGCACAAUUAACGCAAAGUUUAAUUUGUGCAACUCUAAUUUACCCAGCUCAAAAUCUCUAACCAAAGCAAUGAAAUCAUUUUUGAUCACGUCCCAAAAGGAUUGAUAAAAUAAGAAAGAUAAACCAUCCGGGCCAGGGGCCCCGUUGGCAUAACUGCCAAAAAUUGCAUUUUUGAUCUCCUCUUCGAUAAAGUUUUUCUGAAGAAUUUCAUUCUCCUCCUCGGUAACCAUGUCCUGCUCCUCCUAGAAGGAAGCGCCAAGGUUAAUAUUAAGUUUAGAUUCGAAACCAAAAAGGUUCUUGUAAAAGGAUGUUGCAAUUUCAAGCAUCCCCUCAGUAGUCUGAACUGGACCAUUGUCUCCAUUUAGUCCAGCAAGGUGGUUCUUCUGAUGUCUAUGGUUAGCCAUUGCAUGGAAAUAUGCAUUAUUCCUAUCCCCAUCAAUAAUUCGACGAUCUCGGGAUCUCUACCACAAGGCAGUUUCCUCCUGUUUCCAGAACAGAUCAAGCUCAGAUUUAAUCUAAUUCAGUGUAGAUCUAUCCCGCGCAUUCAAUUGGUUACUUUCUGAAAAAACAUCAAGGGUGUCAAAUUCCAGCAUAAGCUCUCUUUUAUUUUUCUUCAAACUAGCCUCCACGUUAAUACUGCAGCCUUUAAUCUUUUUGCAAAGGAGUCUAGUUUUGUUCGUCCAUCUGUACAUGGCACUAUCACGUGGGGUUGAAGUAUUCCAAAUCUUAACCACCAGGUCUCUAAAGCCAGGUUGGUCUAACCACCAUUUUUCAAAAUGAAACAAUUUCACGGAGGUAACCCUGCGAGCCCCGGUGUCAAGAAUCACACGGGUGUGGUCACUACCCACUCCGAGCAAGCCUGUCAACACUAACAAUGGGAAAUGGGCAUCCCAAGAUGUAGAAACCAGCACAUGAUCAAUAGUAGCAAACAUAGAAUUUUCCUGGUUGUUCUCCUACGUAUAACUCCUAUUAGCAAUAUUGAUCUCCAUCAAAGCCCAUUUAUUUACCCAGUCAUUAAACAAAUAAACUAACUGAUUAUUGACCACCCCAUUAUUCUUGUGUGCAGCGGAGCAAACUAAAUUAAAAUCACCCCCAAAAACGAUUGGAUGUGAGAGUCCAGCCAUAACCUCAUGAAGCUGUGCUAUAAAUUCCAUUUUAAACUUGUUAUAGGUUGUACCGUUAAUCGCCACUAGAUGCCACACAAAACCAUCACUUUUGCUCUUAACAGUAGCAACACAACAUAGUUUUUUAUCCACAAAACCUAUAGUCUCAAACAACUCAUUAUUCAGACCCGCAAGGAUCCCCGCAGCAGUGUUAGCAGCAGGAAGCGAAUGCCACGUAAAAUCCCUACCGCCAGUAAUAUUUUUUAAAAUGUGGUCACCAAUCACCUCCUUCUUGGUCUCAAAGAAACCAACAAAGUCAACUUUAUUAGUUUUCAGAAAAUCACCAAGGCACUGUAAUUUACCACGUUUCCAAAAGGCCAGAAUAAUUUGAUUUUAAAAGGGUGUAAUACCCACAAGGCUUAGAUUUUGUAUGCAGUUUAGGCUUCUCCACCUCCGCCUCUAAAGUGCCCCCUACUGCGAAAGGUGAGAAAGACCUAGUAUCACUCUCAAGCUGCCCAAAAUCUAUGUCUAGAUUAUCAGGGAGAACAAUAUCGGUGUUGCUAUUAGCGAAUUGAAUGCCUUUAAUUUUUUCCUCAUCAAUCAUUUCAGUAAUGAUAUUAAUCCAUUCCACCUCAUCACAACCAAUGCAAAAAAUCAACACUAUUUGUAUGAGAAAUUAAAGUUUCAGGAGCAAUGGCAGCAAAUGAUUUACCUCUGAAUGUAGCUGGGAUUUCGAGGUUCUUUUUCUACAUAUAUGCAGUAGCUUUGUCCAUGAUCUUGACUCCUCCAUGAUCCCUGGUAUUUGGUUUGUUAUCGAGGAGAUGCCGCCAAGUUGCAACCAUCCGAGGGUUGAACUUUUUAUUCUGCCCAGCUACUUUUUCCACAGUGUCCCGCGAAGAUCUUAUGGGAGACCCCAGAACAACAGAAAUCUCUUUUGCAAGGCAUUUCAUCUCAGGAAGCAUGUUCUCUUCCUCAUCACGAGACUCCAUCAUAUCAAAUUUGCGAAGCUUUUCAGACCAGUAGUCUAGAUGGACCGACAUAGGCAUAGCACUAGUACAGAGGGGUGACACAACAUCCACACCCAGACCCUCAACCUCAUCUAUCUCUAGAGCCAUCAUAUCUUAUGUAGGGAGAGAUUUCCUAAUUUCAUCAACGAAAUCCUCAUGAAUCUCAUCCACCAAAAUGUGUGGGUGUAUAUCAGCUGCAGAAACAACACAUACUUGGCCACUUUUACUACUACUCCCAGUCUCCAUGCUUUUGGACUGAAAGUUAGCUCUAUCUAUCUCAUUAAUAGCUUCAUCCUCUUCAUCAUCUCCCAGAUCCUCUCUCUCACCCUCUUCUCCAUGUUCUCCCCCAUCUCCCUCAUGAUUGUCCUUAUCAGGAUCCAAAUCAUCACCAUCAGAAUCUUCUCCAAUUUGUUCAAACCCUUCCACAGUAAAAAAAAUUAGGAUGUAUAGUUUACUAUUCAUCUCCACCAGUCUCUUAAAGGGGAUUUUCCUGGGGUCUAUGCAAGCAACUUUGAUUCUGAUUGUUUCAUAGAAACUAUUGAAAAUCCCAUUCCAGUCCACAUUCACAAGGAUGCCAAAACAAGCAGAAACUUUAGAAAAAUUCUUUGUUAGGGCAUAUUUCUCCAUAUGUGGUUUUGGUAAUUGAUGACAAUCCCUAUGGACUAAUGGUUGCAUUGAGUUAUAUUCGAAGGAUUUGUCCAUAGGCACUUAUUGAAGUCCAUCUCUUGCUUUCAAGGAGUUUAUAUGAUGACCAAGGUGGUAUUCAAGGUAUUAUCCGAAGAAUGGUCAUAAAGACACAAGGUUGAUCAAGACUAAGACAAAGAGUAAAUCAAGUUGAUCAGCACACAAAGCAUACAAGAUGUACCAAGAGGGAUCAAGUGAUCCCAUGGUAUGGCAAGCAUUGUCCAUUACGCUUUUGUGUACUAACCCAUGGUCUUCGUAAGAGUUCUAUGUGGGGUUAGGUGUGUUUCCAUGGGCUUGCGUCAAGACGAAGAUCUCAUACAACCCAUGGAGGAGGAUGUCAAGUGGUGAUUGUCAUCAAGAUUGCGGUGUGCAAGUUCAAGUGGAGCAUCACGAAGAUAUCUUGCUUGAAGCUUGCCAUCCAUUGUGGUAGCUAUGGGUUUGUGAAGAUGUGUUGAAGAGUGGCUCACCCAUAGUGAGUAUGGGGGAGCAAUCAACUAGUUUUCAUCAAACCAACGCAAUCAAGAAAGGCGGUCCAUCUUGAGGAAGCCAAGAUCAUCAUCAUCUAGAUCAAGAGGACUAGGUGCAAGGUGGUCCAUAUUGAGUGGCCAUCUUAAAUGGCCUAAAAGCAUAUAUAACCGGACUUGGCAAUUCGACUCUCCUAAACAUUUCUGGAUGCGCCCGGACACGACCUUCAUCACCGCGAGAUGGCCCUUGAUAUGUCUUGCAGGACAACCAUGCUCCUCAAAUAUAACCCCUCAAUCCAUGCAUGUGGAUCAUAUAGCACAAAUUCAUCACAACUCAACAAUGCAAGAAAGCAAAAUAAGAUGACAGUUCAACAGUCGAGGCAUGUCAAAAUAAAAUUCAAAUUCGGGCCACAACUGGCCAACGUGAUGAAUCACUCCAACGGGCGCCAUCUGUGUCACGUCCUUCAUAUACGCCUUGUGCUGUGCGGGGCCGCCAUCCAUUCCACCCCCAUUGCUGCCAUCGCUCUUCCUGCCCCAUUCUCCCUAUCUUGGUUUAUCUCCUUCCUCUUUCCCUCGAGCCACUUCCUUCCUUGCUCAUCCAAGAAACUUGCAUCCAUCAACAUAGUCCUCAAAUUCUCAAUGUCUCGAGCAAGUUGUGACCUCUCCUUCUCAAGAUUUAUUGAUCCAAAAGUCUGGGCUUUCUCGAGCUCACAUUUAAUACCUAAGCUUCUCUAAAACCUUUCAAACCUUAGGACCCGUUUUUAAGCUUAUGUGUGAACAACUGACAAACCAUGUCUCUAGUAUUUUUUGGGUUGAGUGAUCAGCGGUGCCGCCUUUUCAUUAAUGGAUCAUUUGUCACCCCUCAUUUUAUUUAAUUUGGUAGAAAUGGGAUUUUUUGAAAUGGAAAUCCAAUUGCAAAAACAUGUUUGGCUGCCACAUGGAUUCUGGAUCGAAAUGAUUUCCACUUAUCAUGCAUGGCCACCAUUUUGGCAUGAGUUGAUAAAUACAUACCAAGUUUGGCUUCAAAAUGAGCUUUAUAAUAGACUAACAUCGUCUUUCUAAAAUUUAUAAAAUUUGUGCCAACAUGAAACAAGUUUCGACACACAAGUUACAAAAGAUCUCCAUAAAGCAUAAACCCCCAUAAUCGAAUUUGAAAAAAUGCAUAGUCAAUAAACACCAUUAAAUCUUGGGUGACUAGGUAUGAGAGUGCGUCGGGGGAUGAGCUCUAUGAGUUAUCAAGGGCCUCGCUUCGGUGGUUCUCUGGUGAUGGGACGACCCAGUUCCUCUAGAUGGGGCGGCGGCAGCAGAACUCCUAGGCGGCGCUUUCGAAGGAGACGAGGACGUCACGGGCGGGUGGAUACGGGUGUCGGCGUCAAAACCGGUAGAUCUCGGGUAGGGAGUCCCGAACAGUAGACCUCGGAUAUAUGGGUUGCACGAGAGAAGGGGAGACAAUGUUUACCCAAGUUCGGGCCCUCGUGAGGAGGUAAAACCCUACGUCUUGCUUGAUUAUAUUGAUGGGGAACGAUGAUUACAAAGUUGAUCUACCUCGAGAUCGUAUGAGCUAUCCCCUAGAUGAGAUAAACUGCCUCUAUACAUAAGAACAUCUGGUUUAUAUAGACACCAAGGCUCCUAGGUUACAUGUUACCGACCUUAGUCGAGGAUAGUCAGGUCGAACUGGUCCUCCUGACUUGAAGUGCAUGCCUAGUCUUUGGAGCUUUCCAUCUUGAUUACGAAGCUCUCAGAUAAUCCGAUCUUCAAUGUCGCAGCCAAUAUGGUCGGCCCAUAAGUGAUAACCCGACCGCCCGAGAACCCCUUAAUCUGGAACUUCCUCAGUAGCCCCUGAACUGGCCUUCAACGCUGAUGUGUACGGUCUUCGGAAGUCGAACACUUAGAAUAAUCGGCUUGCACGACGAGUUCCUCCUAUGAUCGACUGGUAUCGGUUUAUUCGCUCCAACGACAUCGUGUUCUCAAAACGGGUGUCAUUGAAUCUAAAGGCUUUAAAGGCCGAGAGGUGAAGAGACCCUUAUCUGAAAAUUCUUCUCACGAAAAGUCAUGGUAACAAAUUAUGAGAAAAACUCGAAUCGCGGCUCAAGCCCACUUUCCCCAGGGCAUGUUCUAUCAACAAAAGAAAUAGUGUCCCGCAUGUAAGGGAAUUCGAAUGAACGACCGAGGCCAACCCACCCACGUUCAACGGCAUGGUCGUUUGGAGAAGUGGCGGAGCUGGCGGUAGAGUAAGCAGAAACCCUUGGCUUCACGACCUCCCUUAAAAAGGGGGAAAAGAUCCAAAACCCACCAGAGGCAUUCCAGACUCUACUCCCUCUCCUUCCAAGCUCAAGCACCCAGAUCCAUUCCAUUUCCCACCCUUGUCAGCCGUCCUCCUUCCCCGGCUUUAGCAAUGGCCGUCUCGGGCUCUAAGGGCAAGUGGGAGAUCUCCUGCUUCUCCGACAGGGACAUCCAUGAGCUGAAGCACUGUUGUUAAGGCAUAUUUCUCCAUAUGUGGUUUUGGUAAUUGAUGGCAAACCAUAUGGACUAAUGGUUGCAUUGAGUUAUAUUCGAAGGAUUUGUCCAUAGGCACUUCUUGAAGUCCAUCUGUUGGUUUCAAGGAGUUUAUAUGAUGACCAAGGUGGUAUUCAAGGUAUUAUCCAAAGAAUGGUCAUAAAGACACAAGGUUGGUCAAGACUAAGACAAAGAGUAAAUCAAGUUGACCAGCACACAAAGCAUACAAGAUGUACCGAGAGGGAUCAAGUGAUCCCAUGGUAUGGCAAGCAUUGUCCAUUACCCUUUUGUGUACUAACUCAUGGUCUGCGUAAGAGUUCUAUGUGGGGUUAGGUGUGUUUCCAUGGGUUUGCGUCAACAGGUUUACCCUUGACAAUUUUUCUAUUUUAGUAUAGAUUGUUGUACUGUCAAGGGGGGCUCUCAAGUGAGUAGCUUGAUCGUAUCGUUCGUUGAGUGCUCAAACCAUUUGCAUCCUUGCAUCAUAUUUAUUGGUUCUUAUUUGGUGUUUCUCUUUGUGAGUUUUAGAGCUUAUGGUCAUCUUCGUUACAAGCUCGAGUUCAUCGAAAACAGAGUCCAUAUGCAUCUUCUAUGAUGUUUUCGAUGUUGGAAGUUUUUUGCCUGUUCUUCAUUCAUAGAGGUCUCACAUCUCUAUAUCAUUGGCAUUUUUCAUAAAUACGUGUUGGAUAGCUCGUGUCGUCGUGAAUCCAACAAGCUUGAGUUUUCUCAAUUCGGAGCUCAUAUGCGAAAGUUAUGGUCGUUUUCGUAUUUCAUGUUGUCUUCCUCACUGACCAGUUGUACCGCUGCCAUCGGCGGUUGUACCGCUCAACCCCUGGGCGGUUGUACCGGCCCAGCACUGGUCCACAACUAGUCACGGCUCUAUUUAGCUGCAGUAGUUGGGCAGUGGUGGCCCGGUUGUACAGCUAUAUUAAAUAUAGCCGAUACUACAGGUGUUCCAAGUGGUUGUACCGCUUGGGACUUAGCCACGCCCAGCGGCCAAGUUUCUAUUUUGGUGCGGUUCUUGGGCGGUGGUUGGGCGGUUGUACCGCUAUAUUACAUAAACCGGUUGUACCGCCCGCAUCACCGGUUGUACCACCCUUGUGUAUUUCUACACAUAACACGCAGAUUUGUGGGGACCUAUUUAAGGGGUCUUCUUCCCCAAUGGUUCGUCAUCUCUUAAGCUCAUUUUUGCCCCCCAUUGCUGACCUUCUUAGAGCUUGCUAACACUCAAUCCCUCCAAUGAUUCUUGCUCAUUUUUGAGGGAAAAGAGAGAGGAGAUCUAGAUCCACAUUUCCACCAAUCACUUUCUCCUCAAAGUGAGGGGAACCCCUUGGAUCUAGUUCUUGGAGUUCUUGGUGUUCUUCUUUGUUCUUCCUCUCAUUUUCCACCAUAGCAUUAGUUGUUGUGGUGGGAUUUGGGAGUGAAGGACUGGGGCACUCUGUGUGCCCUUGCCAUUGCAUUUGGUGCAUAGGUUUGAGUUCUCCACGGUGAUACGUGGAAGUGAAGUUUGAGAAGCUUAUUACCCUAUGGUACUUGGUACCCUAGAGAUUGUUCCUCGUGGAUGCUUUGGCGUCCUAGAAGCUUGGUGGUGCCUCGAAGCUCAAUCAUUGUGGUGUAAAGCUCCGAGCAAGCGUCAGGGUCUUCAAUUAAGUUGUAGAGAUUGCCCCGAGCAUUAGUGGUCACCUCGAAGCCACAUGCCAUUAUGGUGAAGCUUCAUGGUGUUGUUGGGAGCCUCCAAUUAAGUUGUGGAGAUUGCCCCAACCUUGUUUGUACGGGUUCAUUCACCGCCCUCAAGAGUCCCUUAGUGGAAUCACGACAUCUUACAUUGUGCAAGGGCGUGAGGAGAUUACGGUGGCCUUAGUGGCAUCUUGGGGAGCAUUGUGCCUCCACACCGCUCCAAACGGAGAUUAGCAUCAGCAAGGGUGCGAACUUUGGAUACAUCGUCGUCUCCGUGUGUCUUGGUUAUCUCUUAUCCGGGCUCUUUAGUUAUGCACUUUACUUUGUGAUAACCAUAUUGUUUCUUGUUAUAUAUUUUGCUAUCACUUAGUUGUUUAUCUUGCUUAGCAUAAGUUGUUGGUGCACAUAGGUGAGCCUAGUUGUUUUAGGUUUUGUGCUUGACAAAUUAAACGUUAGUUUUAUUCAGCAUUUGUUCAAGCCUAAAUCGUAGUUAUUUUAAAGCGCCUAUUCAUCCCCCCUCUGGGCAACACCCACGUCCUCUCAACCUUCCAUGCACACCACUUUGGAGAAAUCCCUUCAAUCUGUACCCACGCUUCACUAAGCUCCCCAAAAGGGUCUAGCAUGCCUUGUCAUUCAAAAAUUUUAACAGAAACACCAUCAAUAGGUAGCUCAAAAGCAGGAAAUUUGAUCAGGUCAUUCACAUUUUUCCAAGGAGGGAACCUCAGCACAAUUUUUUUCUCCUCUAGUUCUCUCAUCUUCCACGGCCAAUCUUUGUUCUUACAAAAGAUGCCAUUCAAUUGUGUUAAGAGCUCCCAAGCACAAACUUCUCCCUUUAUCACCUUAAGAAUGGCACAAUUUUUAUAGUUCAACCAAUUUGACUAAGUAGCCAGAGGAGUGUCAAUGUGGUAGAACCCUCAACCGACGGCUGCACUUCCAAAGUAAGUAGCAGUGGGUUGUGGUUUAGCCCAUGCAACACAGUUGUUCACAUUGUGACAACCCACACAUAUGAAGCAUCUUUUUGGCUCAAUGCAAUUCCCCACGUAGUGACCCGACCAACUACAACUAAAACAUAUCAUAUCUUUGUACGUGGGGUCUAGAGCUUGCACGUCAGGGGGCUGAGGGGGUGCAGGGAGAUUGGUAGUUGGGGGCGGGGCGAGAGUAGGAGCAACAACAUUAUGUUUCCCCCCAACCCCAGCCUUGGGCACCGGCACAGCUUUCGGCUGAUUUCCAACACGGGCUGCUUUGGUGUCUUGAAGAUUCUUCUUGCCUGGAGGAGGCCUCCGAUUCCGCAUCUGGUUCAUGUGCCCUUAUUCUCCAUCUCUCCCCGAACUACUUGAGCGAACGAUCUAGAUCGAGGGGCACCCGCCUCAGUGGAAAGCUUAAAAUUCAUAGGGGCAGGGUCAAAUCGACUCACAGCUUGUAAACUUCUUUGCUAGGAACAAGUCCUUCCUCACCCACAAGAGUUUGGGGAUUGAGAAACUAGGGUUUGGAGGGCAGGCAUCAGUCUUCGCAUCAGUCUUAUAAUGACGUUGUUGACGGCAUGGGGACGGAACAACCCACAGCUGCCCAAAAAAGCCUGUUACCUGCUCUGAAACCCCGUGGGCCAGGUGAGAAGACACAUUUUCCCUUUGCGCCUUCUUCGUGACCACACAUCCACGGAUAACUGGAGCGGGGAUAAUCAGAUGGCUGCCAACUAGGCUUGGCCAGUUCUAAUCAAUCUCCCCCCAAUCGCACAAGCGAUCUCUUAAACAUCCCCUGGAAUUUCAAUACCACCCAAACUAGCAUCAAUAGGAUUAUCUCUACCAACGAAAUCAGAUCCCAAACCACCCUGAGGGACAACCCUCAAAUCAGAGUCAUACUUCACUAUGUAUCUAAUUUUUUCCCGAUAAAAAUGAGGACGAGAGCUGAAAUGACUGACCUUAUCGGAGGAACUUGAGAUCCCUCCACGAUCCCCCGGCCAGGGAGACGGUUCCAAAUUGCCCCGCCAUGGCCUCCUAACAGGGGCAAGCACCUUCAAGGAACCCCGGGAAGCACCGUCCCCGGCGACAGAAGAUCCAGAGGGAUCCUUGCGAUUUCCACCAUCGGAGGUGGAAGAAUGUUGAGCCUGGAUGGGUUCCUUGUCCUGAACCGCAUCCACCGCUCCGCUUGCACAGGAUCUGCGAACUCUGCCUCUUGAAUCGCCUAGAAGAGCAUCUCGAAGUCCAUCCCCCCGUCGCCCCCCACGAACCGCAUCCGCUCCACGAACUCCGAACUCCGGAUAAUCUCCACGCAGAUCUCCGGCCACCUUGUGUGGUCGGGGAAUCUCUCCCGCACCAGGCGUGGCAUCUCCACGGCAUCUCCGUCGCCGGAAACGACCGCGGCGACACCGACAAUGGCGUCGCAACGGAGCCUCCGCCUCCAGAGCUGGUGGCGGCGCCACCAGAUGUGCGUGCCACGCCCGUCUCGACCUCGUCCUGCGUCACGAUCCCCCCACCAUCUCGAUCUAGGCGAGUCAGAGGAGGGUGGGAGAGAGUGCGGGAGGCACAAAGGAGGCGAGAAGGUGGGAUGGAUGUAGGCGAGAGGGAUGCGUGCCCCUUAAUGGCCCCGAGAUCGUCAUUAAUGGUGUUAGGUGGAGCGUCGGGAGUCGCCUCGCG